This 1031-nucleotide ribosomal RNA is filed under the name uncultured bacterium. RNAcentral's name for it is "bacterial SSU rRNA". It matches the Rfam family "Bacterial small subunit ribosomal RNA", at positions 97 to 1140 of the family's 1533-position model. The record is from RNAcentral.
GGCGGACGGGUGCGUAACGCGUAUGAAACCUACCUUUAUCAGGGGGAUAGCCCGGGAAAACCCGGAUUAAUACCGCAUAAUAUAUUGAAUGGCAUCAUUUGGUAUUGAAAGAUUUAUUGGAUAGAGAUGGUCAUGCGUAGGAUUAGCUAGUUGGUAAGGUAACGGCUUACCAAGGCGACGAUCCUUAGGGGCUCUGAGAGGAGUAACCCCCACACUGGCACUGAGAUACGGGCCAGACUCCUACGGGAGGCAGCAGUAGGGAAUAUUGGGCAAUGGGCGAGAGCCUGACCCAGCCAUGCCGCGUGCAGGAAGACGGCCCUCUGGGUUGUAAACUGCUUUUGAAUGGGAAGAACGGUAAGCCUGCGGGCUUAAUUGACGGUACCAUUAGAAUAAGCCACGGCUAACUACGUGCCAGCAGCCGCGGUAAUACGUAGGUGGCGAGCGUUAUCCGGAUUUAUUGGGUUUAAAGGGUGCGUAGGCGGCUUAAUAAGUCGGUGGUCAAAGGUAGCAGCUUAACUGUUUUACAUGCCACCGAUACUGUUGAGCUUGAGAUAUGUGGAGGCAGAUGGAAUUUCCGGUGUAGCGGUGAAAUGCAUAGAUACCGGAAGGAACUCCUAUUGCGAAGGCAAUCUGCUACAGAUAAACUGACGCUGAUGCACGAAAGCGUGGGGAUCAAACAGGAUUAGAUACCCUGGUAGUCCACGCCGUAAACGAUGAUUACUAGUUGUUGGCCCGCUGGGGUCAGUGACCAAGGGAAACCGAUAAGUAAUCCACCUGGGGAGUACGCCGGCAACGGUGAAACUCAAGGGAUUUGACGGGGGUCCGCACAAGCGGUGAGCAUGUGGUUUAAUUCGAUGAUACGCGAGGAACCUUACCUAGCUAGAUGUGAGAGAAUGUAUCAGAGAUGGUACAGCUAGCAUAGCUCGAACAGUGCUGCAUGCGUCGUCAGUCUGCGGGGGAGGUUGUGUGGGUUAAGUCCCGCAACGAACGCAUCCUAUAUUUCUGUGCAGCAUGUAUGAUGGACUCGAUUA